UAACACGUAGGGGCCAAGCGUUGUCCGGAUUUAUUGGGCGUAAAGAGCUCGUAGGCGGUUCGGUAAGUCGGGUGUGAAAACUCUGGGCUCAACCCAGAGACGCCACCCGAUACUGCUGUGACUCGAGUCCGGUAGGGGAGUGGGGAAUUCCUGGUGUAGCGGUGAAAUGCACAGAUAUCAGGAGGAACACCGGUGGCGAAGGCGCCACUCUGGGCCGGUACUGACGCUGAGGAGCGAAAGCGUGGGUAGCAAACAGG
RNAcentral lists this ribosomal RNA (257 nucleotides) under uncultured bacterium. Its description in RNAcentral is "partial 16S ribosomal RNA". It matches the Rfam family "Bacterial small subunit ribosomal RNA", at positions 521 to 776 of the family's 1533-position model. The record is from RNAcentral.